GUGCUCGCUUCGGCAGCACAUAUACUAAAAUUGGAACGAUAGAGAGAAGAUUAGCAUGGCCCUUGUGCGAGGAUGACACACAUUCAUGAAACAUUCCAUAUUUAA
This 105-nucleotide small nuclear RNA is filed under the name Sus scrofa (pig). The record is from RNAcentral. Lineage: Eukaryota; Metazoa; Chordata; Mammalia; Artiodactyla; Suidae.